AUUGAACGCUGGCGGCAUGCCUUACACAUGCAAGUCGAACGGCAGCGGACCUUCGGGUGCCGGCGAGUGGCGAACGGGUGAGUAAUAUAUCGGAACGUACCUUUCAGUGGAGGAUAACGUAGCGAAAGUUACGCUAAUACCGCAUAUUCUGUGAGCAGGAAAGCAGGGGAUCGCAAGACCUUGCGCUGAUUGAGCGGCCGAUAUCAGAUUAGCUAGUUGGUGAGGUAAAGGCUCACCAAGGCGACGAUCUGUAGCGGGUCUGAGAGGAUGAUCCGCCACACUGGAACUGAGACACGGUCCAGACUCCUACGGGAGGCAGCAGUGGGGAAUUUUGGACAAUGGGCGCAAGCCUGAUCCAGCCAUGCCGCGUGAGUGAAGAAGGCCUCGGUUGUAAGUACUCUUUCGGUCCGGGAGGAAAGUACGCGACAGGUUAAUACCCUAGUGUGGA
Molecule: ribosomal RNA, 448 nt
Filed under: uncultured bacterium
Lineage: Bacteria
Description: bacterial SSU rRNA
Rfam family: Bacterial small subunit ribosomal RNA
Source: RNAcentral